UACAGAGGGGGCAAGCGUUGUUCGGAAUUACUGGGCGUAAAGCGCGUGUAGGCGGCUUUGCAAGUCGGGUGUGAAAGCCCUCAGCUCAACUGAGGAAGUGCGCCCGAAACUGCAGAGCUUGAGUGCCGGAGAGGGUGGCGGAAUUCCCCAAGUAGAGGUGAAAUUCGUAGAUAUGGGGAGGAACACCGGUGGCGAAGGCGGCCACCUGGACGGUAACUGACGCUGAGACGCGAAAGCGUGGGGAGCAAACAGG
RNAcentral lists this ribosomal RNA (253 nucleotides) under uncultured bacterium. Its description in RNAcentral is "partial 16S ribosomal RNA". It matches the Rfam family "Bacterial small subunit ribosomal RNA", at positions 524 to 776 of the family's 1533-position model. The record is from RNAcentral.